UACGUAGGGGGCUAGCGUUGUCCGGAAUCAUUGGGCGUAAAGAGCGUGUAGGCGGCCCGGUAAGUCCGCUGUGAAAGUCGGGGGCUCAACCCUCGAAUGCCGGUGGAUACUGUCGGGCUAGAGUGCGGAAGAGGCGAGUGGAAUUCCUGGUGUAGCGGUGAAAUGCGCAGAUAUCAGGAGGAACACCGGUGGCGAAGGCGGGUCUCUGGGCCGAUACUGACGCUGAGGAGCGAAAGCUAGGGGAGCAAACGGG
RNAcentral lists this ribosomal RNA (253 nucleotides) under uncultured bacterium. RNAcentral's name for it is "partial 16S ribosomal RNA". It matches the Rfam family "Bacterial small subunit ribosomal RNA", at positions 524 to 776 of the family's 1533-position model. The record is from RNAcentral.